RNAcentral lists this long non-coding RNA (4299 nucleotides) under Gallus gallus (chicken). RNAcentral describes it as "lncRNA (ENSGALG00010018346.1)". The record is from RNAcentral. Lineage: Eukaryota; Metazoa; Chordata; Aves; Galliformes; Phasianidae.
CAGCAAAGCUUUUAUUUUCUCUGCAUAAUCUUGAAUUCUGAUGAUGGAGCAUGAAAACAGUAAUCUAAUUACAUUUCUUGGAAGUUUGGCAGCUACACAAAACGUUUUUUUUUACUUACAAAAUAUAUUUGAUCAAAAAAUCAUUGGUGCCCAAUAAACAAGAAACUGCAGUAUCAUUUUAUAGUCACUUUUCAGAGCAUAACAGUUAAUCUAACUAUAGUUACGCUGGUACUGUAUAAUAUAAAAUGUGUUUUAUUCACUUUCCAGCAAGAUAGGGGUAGGGUUAUCUUCAACUUUGUAUUUUUAUGACUUUUAAGGCAUUUGUGCUGUAAACUGCAUGCGAUUCACUAUAAAAGCUUUUAUUUCCUUUCAGUUCUCAUGGUCACUACCUCCUGAAUGGUUACUGCAGCAGCAUCUAUCCUCACACAGGAUUCCAUUAUCAAAGUACUCCACAAACACAUCUCUUGAAUAUACACACUCUGGAAAGUGGUAAAUGGGCAUUUGUCAAUACAUCUGAUUGCAACCACCGCCUGAAGACGGAGAUCCUUUAGCAAGAGGCCCGAGAACUUGAUGCUUUGGUUUUUCCUUUUGGGACUGCAGAGAAAAAACAGCAUCUGGUGUUUGAGGAUGCUGGGGAUUUACACCAUAUUAUGUGUAAUAUCUGUACUGUAAAUAAACAAAAUGAAUAAUUAAGUGAAUAACGAGGUGUCCUGAAUUAUGACUUCUCUGGCUGCAUCUAUGGAAAAUCAAAGGGACACAUGAAGGAGAUUCAGGCACAGGAGGAAAAAAAAAAGGAAGAAGCUCAGGAGAAGCAGGCUACCACCAGUAGCUGAAUGGGUGGAUCUCCGAAGAGGCCUGAGUCGCUUCAAUGGCUUUUCAGUACAGAUAAGUUACAGUUUUUUCUGCUCUGGCGCAUCCUCUGAAGGCUGAGAUGAAAGACAUGAUUCACUAGACUAAGACAUAUCCUGAAUCAAGAUGCCAGCCCCCUCCUGCACCCCACGCUCCAGAGGCUGGUCUGCUGAAUGAUGGCUGUAUCUGCCCCGAGGACACUGUGAGCCCCACUCCCAGGGUGAGAGGAGAAUGAUGGCAAAAGAAUUUGGUAUAUCCUUGCUCCCACCUUCCUGUUCUUGAAAGCACAGGACAUCUGUGGGAGGAUUAUCUCUGGAGGCCUUGAUGGAGAGUACCAACCAGUCUUCAUGUGAAGACACUCUGCGUUCCUCAGCACUUACCCGUGAUCUGCAUCCUUGACUAAUCAUCUCCUUGCGGAGAUGCCAGUGGAAGUGAUUGAGACAAAGGGGCGUAGCAUCAUCUUGAUGCUGAAGAGCUUUCAGAGGAGGUAAGUGUGUGACUUCCCAGCAGAGCAAGUGGAGAAUAAGCAGCUGAAAAAUCUUUCUUCAUUUCUAAGAAAAACAGGAAUGGCCAGGCCAUUGCCGAGUGCUGACAUGUUUGUAUUGUUUGUGUUGCAUUGUUUUGUAAUCAAAAGUCAGUAUUUAUUGGACUAUACUCUCAAAAGGUCUCAUCUCAAAAUACUCUCAUAUCAGAAUCUGUGAUAAGACUAAAAACCCUGAUGGAAACUUAGCCCCAGCAAUUUUUUUUUCUGACAUCAGCUCUUCCGUGCCUUAAAGUAUAACCCCAAAGCCCUGAGCUCUCCACUAAGGAGGCUGGAUGUGGGAGCCAGCCAGCAGAGCCUGCUGCGUCCAAGCCCUCUUUGUAAGAGAGGUGGCUGUGGCUCUGGACAGUCUCUGGACUGCCUCCUUCCUUCUGCCUGCAGAGCACAGCCAUGGCCUCUCAGAAAGCUGCUGCUGGUGCCUGUCCUUGCCCUGUGGCUACACCAGCCUAGGGAGACCCUUCCAUGCAUCUUGCAUGCAUGGUAUAGCAGAUAAGCCACAAAUAGUUUGUGCCUACUUCAGUAAGUAGCUCACCGAUGUAGCAUACCAUUGUAAUGGAGAAAAAACCCUAAUUCCAUUAAAUUGGAUGUUAGGCAUAAUAGCUGGACCCUUAAGGUUAAAGAAAUCCGAUCCAUUCAGGUGGCACAGAACAGCCUUCAGUGCAUUGCACAGCCUAAGGAGAGAGCAGAGUGUUGCCCACUGUAUUUACUAUCAUGUUUGUUUUGGGAGCUAAAUUAUUCUUACUAAUUCUGCUAGCAGUGUAAUACGCUGUCUCAGUAAUGGAAAGCAUAUGAAAGCAAGCAGAUGGCGAGAGCAGAAAAAACCCAAGCAUGUCCUGAUAAUGUAGUAAGCAAGUUCAUUUUUUUGGCAUUAGGCUUUCAUAACCGAGGCAUGGUGAUAACAAGUACAGACACAUUUUUAAAGCGCAGUUCAUCAAAAAAUAUAGCCAGUUUCAUUGCAGAGCAAUGGAAGAUUACUUUGAGACUUUUAUAUAGAUAAAAGCUAGAUGUGAAUGUUGUUGAAUUAGACCCAUCAUUUAUUAUUGCUGGCAGAUGAGUGACAGCAGAUACUGGUCAGAGUGAUGCCAUCGCAGUCCUGUGAUCGCACGUAUCUUCACGAAUGUAGAGUUUCUCACCCGUUCACUUGCAAAUAUGUAGCCACCCUGUAUGCCAGAAAAACCACAGGCACUUUGAUACAGGGUGUUAUCGCAGUGGGCAGUAUUGGAAAUUCCAAGUAUUUUAUUUUGCUUCUAAAGCUUUCAGUCUCUGGUUGGAAGUUGUGAAGCUCAAGGCUGCUGCUGCUUCAAUAUCUGCGUAUCUGCAGCACGUGUGGAUCCCACCUGGUUUGGCCCCAUUCCCUGCGAGGAGGGCACUGCAUGGGGAGUGCUCAGCAUGUCUAGAGAAGAGUGGCCUCGCCUCUCUGCUGAAGCAAACAGUCCUGGCAUGGAGUUUUGGGGGGGAGGAGGCGGUGGAAGUAACUUGACUACCUCCAACCCACAUUUUUUUUGUUGUUUUUUUUUUGUCUCUCAGGCCAAGAUAUGGGCAGAAGCAAGGCCAGAUUCACUGUUUACACAAUCUAUCACUUUAAGGUUCUUCAGAGAAGGGAUACAUUAAUUUUUGUUAUGAUUUCACUUUGAAGCAGCGCAGCUGCAUCUUUGUGUGACAUGUCAAGUGGCUCCAGCCGUGCAUUGUGAGAUGGGGCUGCAAGCAAAGCCCUGCCCUCAGCUUCCAGGAGUUUGGUUCAGAGAGAGCAAGGGAGGAGGAGCUGCCAAUGCUGCUGUGUGGGGAGCAAGUGCCAGUUCAGGGAGUGAACAGAACUGAGCAGUGAUCUCUUCUGCAGGGAAGGGGUGAGGAGAGACGGCCCCCUUUCUCAUGAAACCAUGUAAUUGGUUAUAAUGCUCAUUUUUCACCAUUCAAUAGCACAGCGUGUUAAGUAAUGAAAGUUUUUAAAUAUUUCAUAUGCAUCUGGUUCGUUCCUGAUUUGAAGAAACAAAGGCAAGAAAGCCUUUCUGAUUGCUUGCUCCCUCUGAGGGCCUUGCUCUUGCUGCUUCCUGAGGAAAGUUGUCUCCCUUUAUCUUUUUUUAGCAAUGGAUGCUGAUUUAACCUCCCAGGAAAUCAUGUCUUUUCUUCUGUGUUGCUUUUAGUAUCUCCAGGAAGUGGCAGGUGGCACCACUCAGGAGAUGACUUUGAUGGCCCCAUGUCCUCUCUGUUUCAUUACCCAGGCAGGAGGUGGGACUGCUGUUACACCUUGUUCCCAGCUGUUUUCUGCUCCCAAGGCUGUGCCACCCAUCUCGUUGCUGUGGCUUUCUCUUGUGGGGCCUGGGGACAGAUGCAGAAGCCAGGUGACACGGAUGCUUUGCUGCCAGCGCGGGGCCUGAGGCUGUAUCCUGGUGGAGCCUGGGCAGGGGCUGAUCGGCUCAGGAGAGAUGGGAUGGGACAGGGUCUGCCCUAAUGCUGAAGGCCCAGCUCAAACCUCUGGGGGCGGGAGACCCUGUGCUGAUAGCCAGAAGUCAGAGCACGUUGCUUCCUUCUGCUGUGGUGUCUCUGCCAUCUGCAAAUCCCUCCAGCAGCGGCACCCUGCCUCUGCCUUGUUCCCACUUUGUUUAGGCUAAAGCCAGUGGGUCUGUCUUCAAAGCAAAGUGCGGCUUUCCCUGUGGAAAAAUCUCACUCCUGACUUUUGCUCUGUCCCCACAUCAAGCCAGCUUUCAGUGCACUGCCUGUAAGCAACUGUUAUUUUUUGUGUUUGUCCUGCAGUGAGCCAUAGCGUUCUGUGUCACCAUACCUCUAGACAAGGCUGUGAAAGCAGUUGAGGACUUUUCCAACAACUGAUGCCUGCUGCUGCUGCUCACAGCCAGCACAAAGCCUUCCCACUGCCAGGCCUGCCUGCUCUGGGCUGCUGUGUUUAUUUCUGG